GGAGGUGGUUGCGGCCAUUGCGGUGGCUGACGGUGGAAGAGGAUGGUUAUGGUUUCCUUCGUACGUAGUGGUCAAGAUGGUCGUAUCCUCGGCGCAUCUUUGGACCUAUAGAUGUGAAUUCAAGUAAGCAUUGUAUGUACUCAUUUUUAUUACAUGGUACUUUCGUUUGAAAAUAACGCAUCAUCAAAAUUAUCAUUAUUUAUGUACAGUUCAAACUUAUUUUUGUUAAUAAAUCAAAACUUUUGUUAGAUUAAACAUUAUUUUAUAUGGAAUAUACAUUAUUUUAUAUGGUAUAACUAUAUAGUUAUGAUGUAUUACUAACCUGUUUACGGACAGGACAUCCAACGGCCAUGGUGCAACGAUAGUAAGCGCGAGGGCAUGGAUUCCCCUUGGCCAUUUUUUGACCGUAUUUUCUCCAUUGACAUCCAUCGUUUACCUAUCAAAUAAUC
RNAcentral lists this long non-coding RNA (449 nucleotides) under Brassica napus (rape). RNAcentral's name for it is "long non-coding RNA (BNAP_LNC003456)". The record is from RNAcentral. Lineage: Eukaryota; Viridiplantae; Streptophyta; Magnoliopsida; Brassicales; Brassicaceae.